RNAcentral lists this ribosomal RNA (578 nucleotides) under uncultured archaeon. RNAcentral describes it as "bacterial SSU rRNA". It matches the Rfam family "Archaeal small subunit ribosomal RNA", at positions 94 to 656 of the family's 1478-position model. The record is from RNAcentral.
CUUCACAAAGUCAACCUGCCCUCGGGACGGGGAUAAUCUCGGGAAACUGAGGCUAAUACCUGGUAGAUCAAGAUUCCUGGAAUGGGUUUUGGUCCAAAUGAGAUAACGGCAUCUUCGUUAUUUUCGCCCAAGGAUGGGACUGCGGCCGAUCAGGCUGUUGGUGGGGUAAAGGCCCACCAAACCAGUAACCGGUACGGGCUUUGAGAGAAGGAGCCCGGAGAUGGACACUGAGACAAGGGUCCAGGUCCUACGGGGCGCAGCAGGCGCGAAACCUUCGCAAUGCGCGCAAGCGCGACGAGGUUAUUCCGAGUGAUUUCCGCUGAGGAAAUCUUUUCUCAGAUCUAAAACGUCUGGGGAAUAAGGGGAGGGCAAGUCUGGUGUCAGCCGCCGCGGUAAUACCAGCUCCUCGAGUGGUCAGGGCGUUUAUUGGGCCUAAAGCAUCCGUAGCCUGCUCGGUAGGUCUCCUGUUAAAUCCAAUGGCUCAACCGUUGGCCUGCAGGAGAUACCGCCGGGCUAGGAGGCGGGAGAGGCGGACGGUACUCCGAGGGUAGGGGUAAAAUCCUUUGAUCCCCGGAAGA